AGUCACUGACAUUAGAUACCCGUGUAGUCCUAGCCGUAAACGAUGCGGACUGGGUGUUAGGAUGGCUUUGAGCUGUUCCGGUGCCGAAGGGAAGCUGUUAAGUCCGCCGCCUGGGAAGUACGGUCGCAAGACUGAAACUUAAAGGAAUUGGCGGGGAGCACCACAACGCGUGGAGCCUGCGGUUUAAUUGGAUUCAACGCCGGAGAUCUCACCAGGGGCGACAGCAGUAUGAUGGCCAGGUUGAUGGCCUUGCUUGACAAGCUG
Molecule: ribosomal RNA, 264 nt
Filed under: uncultured archaeon
Lineage: Archaea
Description: partial 16S ribosomal RNA
Rfam family: Archaeal small subunit ribosomal RNA
Source: RNAcentral